CCGGUGGAGCACGUGGUUUAAUUCGACGAUAAGCGAAGAACCUUACCAGGGCUUGACCUAGCGGUAGUAGGACCCUGAAAAGGGAACGACCUCAAGCUUUGCUUGAGGAGCCGUGGCAGGUAUUGCAUGGCUGUCGUCAGCUCGUGUCGUGGGACGUUGGGUUAAGUCCCGUAACGAGCGCAACCCCUGCCCUUAAUUGCCAGCGGGUAAUGCCGGGGACUAUAAGGGGACUGCCGGAGAAUAUCCGGAGGAAGGAGGGGAUGACGUCAAGUCAUUAUGAUCCUUAUGCUCUGGGCGACACACGUGCUACAAUGGCCACUACAGUGAGGAGUGAGCCCGCAAGGGUCAGCAAAUCUCAAAAAGGUGGCCUCAGUGCGGAUUGGGGUCUGCAACCCGACCCCAUGAAGAUGGAAUCGGUAGUAAUCGCGGGUCAGCCACACCGCGGUG
Molecule: ribosomal RNA, 447 nt
Filed under: uncultured KB1 group bacterium
Lineage: Bacteria; Candidatus Calescibacteriota
Description: bacterial SSU rRNA
Rfam family: Bacterial small subunit ribosomal RNA
Source: RNAcentral